GACGAACGCUGGCGGCGUGCCUAAUACAUGCAAGUAGAACGCUGAAGGAGGAGCUUGCUUCUCUGGAUGAGUUGCGAACGGGUGAGUAACGCGUAGGUAACCUGCCUGGUAGCGGGGGAUAACUAUUGGAAACGAUAGCUAAUACCGCAUAAUAGUAGAUGUCGCAUGACAUUUGCUUAAAAGGUGCAAUUGCAUCACUACCAGAUGGACCUGCGUUGUAUUAGCUAGUUGGUGAGGUAACGGCUCACCAAGGCAACGAUACAUAGCCGACCUGAGAGGGUGAUCGGCCACAAUGGGAAUGAGAAAAGGCCCAGACUCCUACGGGAGGCAGCAGCAGGGAAUCUUCGGAAAUGGACGGAAGUCUGACCGAGCAACGCCGCGUGAGUGAAGAAGGGUUUCGGAUCGUAAAGCUCUGUUGUAAGAGAAGAACGAGUGUGAGAGUGGAAAGUUCACACUGUGACGGUAUCUUACCAGAAAGGGACGGCUAACUACGUG
RNAcentral lists this ribosomal RNA (495 nucleotides) under uncultured bacterium. RNAcentral's name for it is "partial 16S ribosomal RNA". It matches the Rfam family "Bacterial small subunit ribosomal RNA", at positions 28 to 507 of the family's 1533-position model. The record is from RNAcentral.